Molecule: long non-coding RNA, 344 nt
Organism: Bufo bufo (common toad)
Lineage: Eukaryota; Metazoa; Chordata; Amphibia; Anura; Bufonidae
Exons: 3
Source: RefSeq, a predicted model, not a curated record
CCAGAGUAAGAGGUCUGGUCUACAGCAUGAAGUCACACAGUGACAGGAAGGAAUAGCUGAGACUUGGAAAAGUUUCCUUAUGUCAUCCAUCUUCCUGCCUAUGUGCUGUAGAAAAAAGAUCAUCUAUGGACCUCUAGUGAAACCAAGAUACUCUGAAGGCAUGGACAACUACUGGUGAUUCUUCCAAUGCCGAGCAGGGCUAUCCUCAAGCCUCAGAUGCCUAAUUCCUGACCACCAGCUGUCAGAUCCUCCUCCUCUCCAGGAAGCUGAUCGUCAUCUAUCAGCACUUUUUCUCCUCCAAGAUGCUGACCAACAUCUCAGCACCCGUCUGUCUUCUCCAGUAU